Molecule: ribosomal RNA, 459 nt
Filed under: Dialister invisus
Lineage: Bacteria; Bacillati; Bacillota; Negativicutes; Veillonellales; Veillonellaceae
Description: bacterial SSU rRNA
Rfam family: Bacterial small subunit ribosomal RNA
Source: RNAcentral
GACGAACGCUGGCGGCGUGCUUAACACAUGCAAGUCGAACGAAAAGACGGAAAGAGCUUGCUCUUUUCAGAAUUGAGUGGCAAACGGGUGAGUAACACGUAAACAACCUGCCUUCAGGAUGGGGACAACAGACGGAAACGACUGCUAAUACCGAAUAAGUUCCAAGGGCCGCAUGGCCCAUGGAAGAAAAGGUGGCCUCUACCUGUAAGCUAUCGCCUGAAGAGGGGUUUGCGUCUGAUUAGCUGGUUGGAGGGGUAACGGCCCACCAAGGCGACGAUCAGUAGCCGGUCUGAGAGGAUGAACGGCCACACUGGAACUGAGACACGGUCCAGACUCCUACGGGAGGCAGCAGUGGGGAAUCUUCCGCAAUGGGCGAAAGCCUGACGGAGCGACGCCGCGUGAGUGAUGACGGCCUUCGGGUUGUAAAACUCUGUGAUCCGGGACGAAAAGGCAGAGUGC